This 488-nucleotide ribosomal RNA is filed under the name uncultured bacterium. Its description in RNAcentral is "partial 16S ribosomal RNA". It matches the Rfam family "Bacterial small subunit ribosomal RNA", at positions 28 to 507 of the family's 1533-position model. The record is from RNAcentral.
GACGAACGCUGGCGGCGUGCUUAACACAUGCAAGUCGAACGCGCCUGUCCUCUGGGUUUCUGGGGGGUGGGUGAGUGGCGAACGGGUGAGUAACACGUGAGUAACCUGCCCCCUUCUUCGGGAUAACGGUCUGAAAGGGCUGCUAAUACCGGGUAUUCACUGGUCUCCGCAUGGGGUCUGGUGGAAAGGUUUUUUUCUGGUGGGGGAUGGGCUCGCGGCCUAUCAGCUUGUUGGUGGGGUGAUGGCCCACCAAGGCUUUGACGGGUAGCCGGCCUGAGAGGGUGACCGGGCACAUUGGGACUGAGAUACGGCCCAGACUCCUACGGGAGGCAGCAGUGGGGAAUAUUGCACAAUGGGCGCAAGCCUGAUGCAGCGACGCCGCGUGAGGGAUGGAGGCCUUCGGGUUGUGAACCUCUUUCGCCCGUGGUCAAGCCGCGACGUGGGUCGUGGUGAGGGUAGUGGGUAAAGAAGCGCCGGCUAACUACGUG